GGCAAAAUGGUCUAGGGGAAAGAAUAUGGGCUUAGGUAUCAAAGGACCUGAGUUCUAUUCUCAGCUCUGCCA
Molecule: transfer RNA, 72 nt
Filed under: Ornithorhynchus anatinus (platypus)
Lineage: Eukaryota; Metazoa; Chordata; Mammalia; Monotremata; Ornithorhynchidae
Rfam family: tRNA
About the family: Transfer RNA (tRNA) molecules are approximately 80 nucleotides in length.
Source: Rfam by way of RNAcentral